GGUGACCUCGAUCAGUAGAUCCAUCGCUGAACUUAAGCAUAUCAAUAAGCGGAGGAAAAGAAACCAACAGGGAUUGCCUCAGUAACGGCGAGUGAAGCGGCAACAGCUCAAUUUGAAAUCUGGCCUCUUUGGGGUCCGAGUUGUAAUUUGUAGAGGAUGUUUCGGGUACCGCCCCCGUCUAAAUUUCUUGGAACAGAAUGUCAGAGAGGGUGAGAAUCCCGUCUUGGACCGGCGGUAGGGCCCAUGUGAAACUCCUUCGACGAGUCGAGU
RNAcentral lists this ribosomal RNA (270 nucleotides) under Exophiala sideris. RNAcentral describes it as "partial 28S ribosomal RNA". It matches the Rfam family "Eukaryotic large subunit ribosomal RNA", at positions 1 to 270 of the family's 3401-position model. Lineage: Eukaryota; Fungi; Ascomycota; Eurotiomycetes; Chaetothyriales; Herpotrichiellaceae. The record is from RNAcentral.